Molecule: non-coding RNA, 185 nt
Filed under: Candidatus Ligilactobacillus avistercoris
Lineage: Bacteria; Bacillati; Bacillota; Bacilli; Lactobacillales; Lactobacillaceae
Description: 6S RNA
Rfam family: 6S / SsrS RNA
About the family: E. coli 6S RNA was the first non coding RNA to be sequenced, but its function was unknown until recently. It consists of 184 nucleotides that fold into an extended hairpin structure with a large single-stranded internal bulge.
Source: RNAcentral
UUGUUUCUGAGGUGUACGCAUUGUCCUUUAAUGUAAGGUUGACCGAACACUUUUAUCAUAUGGAACCCGGAGCUCUGGUCGGAUGACAAGCCGGUUGUCCGGACGCCAGAAGGCAGAUUAUGGGUUCAUCCUGCGUUGACGCGGGUUCAACUACGUGGACGAUUAACGGCACUACCGGACUGGGA